CCUCAGCUCUUCGUUUUCCCUUCUCGAACUCCAGUCUCAAAGGGAAAGCCGUAAACCUGCUUCUGAGUCUCAGUUUCCCCUCUGGGGUUGAAAACAACCAGCAGCCUGCAGGCUUGGCCGUGUUCCUGCUUCUCAACAACAGUUUAGGGGAAUAUACGGUCAGAGCUCUCAGGGCACCUUGAUGGGCUGAUAGUCACGAAGCACGGAACUAAAACAGUCUCCUGGCUACUAAAGGACAAGUUGACGUUUCAGAAGGAGAGUGCUACUCACAUCAGUUGAAUAGAGGCCAGGGAUGCUCUCACCAUGCACAGGACAGCCCCCCAUGAUAAAGAAUCAUCUGGCCCAAAGGUCAAUAAUGCUGAAAAACUGGAAUGCAAGGAUAUGAAGAUGAAGUAAACACACAGGUUUUAUUCUGAUCCGAAUACCUGGGCCAAGGGCACUCCAUUCUUAUAGGGCUCAACACUCCUUAUCACUUCUCUCCUGAAGCAAGUGAUUAAAAAUAAAGAAAACAUGCAGGGCUGGCCUGGUGAAGCAGCGGUUAAGUUCCUGUGCUCUGCUUCGGCAGACCCAGGCUCGCACAUUUGGAUCCCGGAUGACGACCUAUGCACCACUCAUCAAGCCAUGCUGUGAGAAAUGGAACUAUGUUUUGUAUGAAUUUUCAAUCUCUAAUAAUCACUUAGCAUUGACUUGUACCGAUUCACAAUAUUCAGGAACAAAUCUGAGCUUUUCUGACCUUAAAGUUCUUGGAAAAGAGACCAGACCUGCAUCAAUUACAAUAAACGAGAGCAAUCACAAAGCAUAUGUGCUCCUUCUUUUAAUUUUAGUGAUAUGAAUAAGGCAUUUUGGAGGAAAACAACCCACAGGCUAGGUGUAAGUCCCAUGGAUAAGUCCAUGGCCACUCAUCUGUGCUGCCACCUCCAGCAGAUUAUACAAGAACCCAAGAAAAAGAAUUUAUCCUUCUAUGUUAAAGAAGCAACAGAAUUGGACAGAUGAGACAAGCCAUAGAAAUGCCAUGCCAUGGACUCAAGAAUGAUUUUGUAUCAGACUUCAAAGAUCAUACAGCAUUUCCAGAUUUCUUAACAUCAACAGCUGAAGGAAAAAUGAUGAAAACUGCAGAAAUGUAUAUUACCAUGCUGAUCUGAUGUUUGAUGGCUUGUAGAGUACGCUGUUACGGAGGUUGGGUAGAGCAGCAUAUCAUUCCUGCCUGGACAAUUUACAUUUUUCCACGUGACUGAC
Molecule: long non-coding RNA, 1236 nt
Filed under: Equus caballus (horse)
Lineage: Eukaryota; Metazoa; Chordata; Mammalia; Perissodactyla; Equidae
Description: lncRNA (ENSECAG00000040456.3)
Source: RNAcentral